RNAcentral lists this unclassified non-coding RNA (298 nucleotides) under Hevea brasiliensis (rubber tree). The record is from RNAcentral. Lineage: Eukaryota; Viridiplantae; Streptophyta; Magnoliopsida; Malpighiales; Euphorbiaceae.
CUUGAUAUUUCUGUAAAUCCUUCUCACAAACAGUGUAGACCCUAGAUAACCUACGGCGCCGCAAAGUAAUCCCAGUCCCAGACAGAACAUCAUAGUGUAACCGAAGUAGAAGCUCGUCUGGAAGAAACCUGACAUCUUCGUCUUCACAUGAUAAUAGUACACAGAGUAAAGGUAAACAUAGGCCGCUGUUGAAGCAGCAGAGAAGAACGAAGUCCAUUGCCAAUGAUAGUUCUCAGCAUUCAGCAAGAAAUAUGUUCCCACGAUAGUAACACAGACCGUGACUAUUACAAGGAUCAGG